Molecule: long non-coding RNA, 1141 nt
Organism: Aethalodelphis obliquidens (Pacific white-sided dolphin)
Lineage: Eukaryota; Metazoa; Chordata; Mammalia; Artiodactyla; Delphinidae
Exons: 2
Source: RefSeq, a predicted model, not a curated record
UCUUGAAACCAUGUAGUGAAAAUAGUGGGAGUUUAAAUAAAAGCAACAUUUCACAGUAUGCUUUUCUGACCAAUGUUAUAUCUAAUACCCUAAUGGAUUAUAUGUACAUGGAUUCUGAAAAGUCAGCAGCACACUUCACUGGUCAAUUUCUAUGAUAAGGGGAACGGAAUUUGAGUGUAGAAAAACAGUAUACUUACAUCUUAAAAUUCCACCCCUACAGAAUCUACUCACUAUUGAAAACUGAGAAAGAAACACACAGAGACAAUUCCAUGUGACAACAGUGAAAGAGACCAGAGUGAUGCAGCUGCAAAUCAAAAAACUGCCAACACCAGUGAUUGAUGGCCACCACCAGAAUCUGGUUAAGACAAAGAAGGAUCCUCCCCUUGAGGCGUCAGAAAGAACAUGGCCCUCUCAACACUUUGAGUUUGAACUUCUGGCCUCUAGAGCUGUGAUAAAAUAAAUUUCUGUUCUUUUAAGCUAACAAGUUUGUGGUAUCUUGUCAUGGUAGCCCUAGAGAUGACAGUAUUUGAUUCCUGAGCUGGCAACUGUAUUUUGACUAUGUAAUGACUAUUCCAAGAUAAUCAACAGACACAAAGAUAAAGGCAAAACUGAGACUAAGCCCAGUUCUUUUUAUUCCCAGAAUAAUAAAUGAUUUUUUAAUUAAUUUAGAUCUCUUUGUCUAACCCCUCUGCUUUUCAGAAGAGUAUGUGGGACCAAUCAAGUAUUAAUAUGUUAUACUUUCAUUUUAAUUCAUCUCAAAUUAUUUCUAAUUCCCCUUAUGAGUUCUUACUUGACCCAUGAAUUAUUUAGGAAUAUAUUCUUUAAUUUCCAUUUGUGAUUUUCAACAAAUUUCUUUCUGUUAACGAUUUCUUAUUGCAUUCUGUUUUCAUCUGAGAGCACUCUUUGUAUUGUUUAUGUCCUUUAAAAUGUACUGAAAUUUGUUUUAUGGCCUAGCAUAUAGUAUAUCCAUGUGCAUUUGAAAAGAAUGUAUAUUCUGAUGCUGUUGGGUGGAAUGUUUUAUAGAUGGCUGUUAGGUCUACUUGAUUGAUAAUGCUGUUCAAGGUUUUUAUUUUCUUGUUGAUUUUCUGUCUGUUCUGCUAUUGAAAGAAGGGUAUUAAAGUAUCCAACUAUUAUUGUAGAA